This 520-nucleotide ribosomal RNA is filed under the name uncultured Glomus. Its description in RNAcentral is "SSU rRNA". It matches the Rfam family "Eukaryotic small subunit ribosomal RNA", at positions 569 to 1078 of the family's 1831-position model. The record is from RNAcentral. Lineage: Eukaryota; Fungi; Glomeromycota; Glomeromycetes; Glomerales; Glomeraceae.
AGCAGCCGCGGUAAUUCCAGCUCCAAUAGCGUAUAUUAAAGUUGUUGCAGUUAAAAAGCUCGUAGUUGAAUUUCGGGAUUGACGUAAUGGUCAUGCCUUAAGGGGUAUGAACUGUUACAGUUGAUUUCUCACCUUCUGGAGAAACUUGAUGUCCUUUAUUGGGUGUCUUGCGGAUCCAGGACCUUUACCUUGAAAAAAUUAGAGUGUUUAAAGCAGGCAUUUUUGCUCGAAUACAUUAGCAUGGAAUAAUAGAAUAGGACGGCAUGGUUCUAUUUUGUUGGUUUCUAGGAUCACCGUAAUGAUUAAUAGGGAUAGUUGGGGGCAUUAGUAUUCAAUUGUCAGAGGUGAAAUUCUUGGAUUUAUUGAAGACUAACUACUGCGAAAGCAUUUGCCAAGGAUGUUUUCUAUUAAUCAAGAACGAAAGUUAGGGGAGUCGAAGACGAUCAGAUACCGUCGUAGUCUUAACCAUAAACUAUGCCGACUAGGAAUCAGACGAUGUUUAAUUUUUAAUUAGUACUCG